This 404-nucleotide unclassified non-coding RNA is filed under the name soil metagenome. Its description in RNAcentral is "partial contains 5.8S ribosomal RNA, internal transcribed spacer 2, and large subunit ribosomal RNA". The stretch from base 1 to 122 matches the Rfam family "5.8S ribosomal RNA", at positions 35 to 154 of the family's 154-position model. The record is from RNAcentral.
GAUGAAGAACGUAGCGAAAUGCGAUACUUGGUGUGAAUUGCAGAAUCCCGUGAACCAUCGAGUUUUUGAACGCAAGUUGCGCCCGAAGCCUUUUGGCCGAGGGCACGUCUGCCUGGGCGUCACGCAUCGCGUCGCCCCCAACAAUUCUCCGUAAAGGGAACAUGUGUUUUGGGGGCGGAUAUUGGUCUCCCGUGCUCAUGGCGUGGUUGGCCGAAAUAGGAGUCCUUUCGAUGGACGCACGAACUAGUGGUGGUCGUAAAAACCCUCGUCUUUUGUUUCGUGCUGUUGCUCGCAAGGUAAACUCUUUAAAAACCCCAAUGUGUCGUCUCUUGACGACGCUUCGACCGCGACCCCAGGUCAGGCGGGACUACCCGCUGAGUUUAAGCAUAUCAAUAAGCGGAGGA